AAGUUCUCCUUGCAAAUCCUGAACCACCACCCCCACAAUGAUCCCGAACCAAAACUGGACUUCCGCCAUUUCCCCCCUCUCACUCACCGUGAACAGACCAGCACGGCAGCGCCCAAGUCCUCCCAUAGAAAUAGUUCAGUUCUUAGGUGUUCUAACCAACACCAAAGUCUCUUCACUUUACCAAGGGAUCAACAAGUGAGGACUUUGUGGGUCACUUUUAUUUUUAACGGACCGGUGCCAGAAACACUGCCUCAGCAUUUAUACGUAUGUGCAUUUCAAACGAGGGUGCGUACAAUGCUGGAUUUGUUUCACGGCUCCUGUUGGAAAAAAGGACCUAUUCCUAAAGUCCGUCAUCCACUCACUGAAGAGGGCAAAUCCCAGUUGCCCACAUGCAAGGAGGCUGUCAAACAGAGAAAUCACUGCAGACUGUUGGUACACAGACAUCUGCUGCCCAGCUCAGGAGUGAAGUACCUUUUGUUUUGAUGAGGUGAUGGUGAGGACAGCCACAGCUUCCAUCUGGUAGAGGACUGCUUCCGCUCAGUCUUCCAAAUAGUGAUGAGAACAAGGAUCACCACAUCUCCCUGUUUACCCUACUUUCAUGCAUUUCGUCUGCAAGGCCCUGCAAAAGCUUCUCCUUCGUCCUCAAACCCCCAGACUUCUUAAUUAACUCAGUAACCUAUACAUUGCACAUUGGAGUGUGAAGGUAACAGUUUGUUCUAGCUUUGGAGUAGUGGUGUAUUUUUUUGGUUUACAAUAAAGUUGGCUUUAACUAUUUCA
RNAcentral lists this long non-coding RNA (777 nucleotides) under Betta splendens (Siamese fighting fish). RNAcentral describes it as "lncRNA (ENSBSLG00000022295.1)". The record is from RNAcentral. Lineage: Eukaryota; Metazoa; Chordata; Actinopteri; Anabantiformes; Osphronemidae.